Molecule: ribosomal RNA, 334 nt
Filed under: uncultured eukaryote
Lineage: Eukaryota
Description: partial 18S ribosomal RNA
Rfam family: Eukaryotic small subunit ribosomal RNA
Source: RNAcentral
CCCUUAGAUGUUCUGGGCUGCACGCGCGCUACACUGAUGCACUCAACGAGUUUACGACCUUGCCCGAUAGGGUUGGGUAAUCUUUUUAAAAUGCAUCGUGAUGGGGAUAGAUUAUUGCAAUUAUUAAUCUUCAACGAGGAAUUCCUAGUAAGCGCGAGUCAUCAGCUCGCGCUGAUUACGUCCCUGCCCUUUGUACACACCGCCCGUCGCUACUACCGAUUGGAUGGUUUAGCGAGAACUUUGGACCGGAGCUCGGGUGGUCAGCAAUGGUCGCCCGAGACAUACUGGGAAAUCGCUCCAGCUUGAUCAUCUAGAGGAAGUAAAAGUCGUAACA